UACGGAGGGUGCAAGCGUUAAUCGGAAUUACUGGGCGUAAAGCGUGCGUAGGCGGUUUAUUAAGUCAGAUGUGAAAGCCCCGGGCUUAACCUGGGAACUGCAUUUGAAACUGGUCAACUAGAGUAUGGUAGAGGAAAGUGGAAUUUCUGGUGUAGCGGUGAAAUGCGUAGAUAUCAGAAGGAACAUCAAUGGCGAAGGCAGCUUUCUGGACCAAUACUGACGCUGAGGUACGAAAGCGUGGGUAGCAAACAGGAUUAGAUACCCUGGUAGUCCACGCCGUAAACGAUGAUAACUAGCCGUUGGGGGGAUUUACCCUUUAGUGGCGAAGCUAACGCGUUAAGUUAUCCGCC
RNAcentral lists this ribosomal RNA (350 nucleotides) under uncultured Candidatus Thioglobus sp. RNAcentral describes it as "bacterial SSU rRNA". It matches the Rfam family "Bacterial small subunit ribosomal RNA", at positions 524 to 873 of the family's 1533-position model. The record is from RNAcentral. Lineage: Bacteria; Pseudomonadati; Pseudomonadota; Gammaproteobacteria; Pseudothioglobaceae (SeqCode).